AGUUGCUGUUUGGUGUCUGAGAAUAAGGGACAACAAAUUUAAAGGGCCUAUUAUGGAGAAUCCAGCAUAUGGACAAGUGGUUGAACUUCAGCAACAAAGACCACCAAGAGUUAGGACUGAAGUUAACCCAGCUUAUGAGACAGUGCUUCCACAUGUUAAUAAUGCAUUAUAUGAAUCUGU
Molecule: long non-coding RNA, 180 nt
Organism: Amphimedon queenslandica
Lineage: Eukaryota; Metazoa; Porifera; Demospongiae; Haplosclerida; Niphatidae
Exons: 3
Source: RefSeq, a predicted model, not a curated record